This 399-nucleotide ribosomal RNA is filed under the name uncultured Streptococcus sp. Its description in RNAcentral is "bacterial SSU rRNA". It matches the Rfam family "Bacterial small subunit ribosomal RNA", at positions 980 to 1382 of the family's 1533-position model. The record is from RNAcentral. Lineage: Bacteria; Bacillati; Bacillota; Bacilli; Lactobacillales; Streptococcaceae.
CUUGACAUCCCGAUGCUAUUCUAGAGAUAGAAAGUUACUUCGGUACAUCGGUGACAGGUGGUGCAUGGUUGUCGUCAGCUCGUGUCGUGAGAUGUGGGUUAAGUCCCGCAACGAGCGCAACCCCUAUUGUUAGUUGCCAUCAUUCAGUUGGGCACUCUAGCGAGACUGCCGGUAAUAAACCGGAGGAAGGUGGGGAUGACGUCAAAUCAUCAUGCCCCUUAUGACCUGGGCUACACACGUGCUACAAUGGUUGGUACAACGAGUUGCGAGUCGGUGACGGCGAGCUAAUCUCUUAAAGCCAAUCUCAGUUCGGAUUGUAGGCUGCAACUCGCCUACAUGAAGUCGGAAUCGCUAGUAAUCGCGGAUCAGCACGCCGCGGUGAAUACGUUCCCGGGCCUU